CCCCGGCCUAGAACGAUCCCUACUUACAUACUUUACUACAUUUGAUAAAAAGAGGGUUAAAUUUUGUGUGCUUAUAUUUUUCACAUCACGUAGAUCUGGCGCCGCUGCGGGAUCUAGGCCGCUAAACCCGACUCGACGUUAUCUGGGCCGCCACCCUCACUGUUCAGGAAUCAAGCUCGCCCAUUUGGAAGAAUCAGAUGGCAAGGUCUCCAUGAGAAUUUUGUGGGGCGGAGCUAUGAGACCUUUUUGGAAUUCUGGGCGGAUGGGUUUCUGAGGGAUUGUGUUGCGGUUGUGUUAGACAUGAAUAGGGUACAAAAUUGGGAAAAGGUAAUUUGCAAAUUUUUACAAAGACCACGGAGAUCCAAUUUCAGGCUUUGAGCAGAUGAAAAGAAAGUUGCUCAUCUGAAAUUUUGAGCAACAGCUUUGAGCAGCCACGGAAAUCUGAAAUUUUUAUGGUUCUUGAAGAUUCACGGUGGUGAGAUUUGAUGAAAAAAAAUGAAAGAGAACCGACAUAGUUUUUUGUGUCGUUUCCCACAGACGGCGCCAAAUGUUGAUGCACAAAACCGGAGGUCUUGGAACAAUGUAAAUCCGACCGUGAAUCUGCAAGAAAUGUAAAUAACACAAGAUGUA
RNAcentral lists this long non-coding RNA (630 nucleotides) under Malus domestica (apple). RNAcentral's name for it is "long non-coding RNA (MDOM_LNC021163)". Lineage: Eukaryota; Viridiplantae; Streptophyta; Magnoliopsida; Rosales; Rosaceae. The record is from RNAcentral.